RNAcentral lists this ribosomal RNA (253 nucleotides) under uncultured bacterium. RNAcentral's name for it is "partial 16S ribosomal RNA". It matches the Rfam family "Bacterial small subunit ribosomal RNA", at positions 524 to 776 of the family's 1533-position model. The record is from RNAcentral.
UACGUAGGGGGCAAGCGUUGUUCGGAAUUACUGGGCGUAAAGGGCGCGUAGGCGGCAUGGCAAGUCAGGAGUGAAAGGCCUGGGCUCAACCGAGGAACUGCUUUUGAUACUGCCAAGCUAGAGUGCGGAAGGGGCAACUGGAAUUCCCAGUGUAGCGGUAAAAUGCGUAGAUAUUGGGAAGAACACCUGAGGCGAAGGCGGGUUGCUGGGCCGACACUGACGCUGAGGCGCGAAAGCCAGGGGAGCAAACGGG